AAAUUGAAGAGUUUGAUCAUGGCUCAGAUUGAACGCUGGCGGCAGGCCUAACACAUGCAAGUCGAGCGGCAGCGGAAAGUAGCUUGCUACUUUGCCGGCGAGCGGCGGACGGGUGAGUAAUGUCUGGGAAACUGCCUGAUGGAGGGGGAUAACUACUGGAAACGGUAGCUAAUACCGCAUAACGUCGCAAGACCAAAGAGGGGGACCUUCGGGCCUCUUGCCAUCAGAUGUGCCCAGAUGGGAUUAGCUAGUAGGUGGGGUAACGGCUCACCUAGGCGACGAUCCCUAGCUGGUCUGAGAGGAUGACCAGCCACACUGGAACUGAGACACGGUCCAGACUCCUACGGGAGGCAGCAGUGGGGAAUAUUGCACAAUGGGCGCAAGCCUGAUGCAGCCAUGCCGCGUGUAUGAAGAAGGCCUUCGGGUUGUAAAGUACUUUCAGCGGGGAGGAAGGCG
This 456-nucleotide ribosomal RNA is filed under the name Enterobacter vonholyi. RNAcentral describes it as "bacterial SSU rRNA". It matches the Rfam family "Bacterial small subunit ribosomal RNA", at positions 1 to 453 of the family's 1533-position model. The record is from RNAcentral. Lineage: Bacteria; Pseudomonadati; Pseudomonadota; Gammaproteobacteria; Enterobacterales; Enterobacteriaceae.